Molecule: ribosomal RNA, 448 nt
Filed under: uncultured bacterium
Lineage: Bacteria
Description: bacterial SSU rRNA
Rfam family: Bacterial small subunit ribosomal RNA
Source: RNAcentral
UCCAGACUCCUACGGGAGGCAGCAGUGGGGAAUAUUGGGCAAUGGGCGCAAGCCUGACCCAGCAACGCCGCGUGAAGGAAGGAGGCUUUCGGGUUGUAAACUUCUUUUCUGAGGGACGAAGAAAGUGACGGUACCUCAGGAAUAAGCCACGGCUAACUACGUGCCAGCAGCCGCGGUAAUACGUAGGUGGCAAGCGUUAUCCGGAUUUAUUGGGUGUAAAGGGCGUGUAGGCGGGAAAGCAAGUCAGAUGUGAAAACUCAGGGCUCAACCCUGAGCCUGCAUUUGAAACUGUUUUUCUUGAGUGCUGGAGAGGCAAUCGGAAUUCCGUGUGUAGCGGUGAAAUGCGUAGAUAUACGGAGGAACACCAGUGGCGAAGGCGGAUUGCCGGACAGUAACUGACGCUGAGGCGCGAAAGCGUGGGGAGCAAACAGGAUUAGAUACCCCUGUA